Molecule: long non-coding RNA, 571 nt
Filed under: Homo sapiens (human)
Lineage: Eukaryota; Metazoa; Chordata; Mammalia; Primates; Hominidae
Description: non-protein coding lnc-SIGIRR-1:3
Source: RNAcentral
GAAAGUUCUGAUCAAAAUACACAAAGACACAAGCCAGGUCCCCACCGCGCUUGGCGAUGCAUCCAUAGCAGCCUUGGUGCUGUGGACACUCCCUGGGGCCCAGCGAAGGGGAGAGUUUGCUCCCAAAGGCGCACCAAUGACCAACAUUUGCCCCCCGGAGGAAAGAACUGGAACCAGGUGUCUGUGAUAGGGCCCCUGACUUCCUCUCCCCGUCUGAAGACCAGGUGCUGAGGCCUGCCUUGGGCAGCUCAGUGGCUCUGAACUGCACGGCUUGGGUAGUCUCUGGGCCCCACUGCUCCCUGCCUUCAGUCCAGUGGCUGAAAGACGGGCUUCCAUUGGGAAUUGGGGGCCACUACAGCCUCCACGAGUACUCCUGGGUCAAGGCCAACCUGUCAGAGGUGCUUGUGUCCAGUGUCCUGGGGGUCAACGUGACCAGCACUGAAGUCUAUGGGGCCUUCACCUGCUCCAUCCAGAACAUCAGCUUCUCCUCCUUCACUCUUCAGAGAGCUGGCCCUACAAGCCACGUGGCUGCGGUGCUGGCCUCCCUCCUGGUCCUGCUGGCCCUGCUGCU